Molecule: transfer RNA, 74 nt
Filed under: Candidatus Kaiserbacteria bacterium RIFCSPHIGHO2_02_FULL_49_16
Lineage: Bacteria; Candidatus Kaiseribacteriota
Description: tRNA-Trp
Rfam family: tRNA
About the family: Transfer RNA (tRNA) molecules are approximately 80 nucleotides in length. Their secondary structure includes four short double-helical elements and three loops (D, anti-codon, and T loops).
Source: RNAcentral
GGGCCUAUAGUUCAGUGGUAGAAUUUCUCUCUCCAAAAGAGAAGACCAAGGUUCGAAUCCUUGUGGGCCCGCCG